Molecule: long non-coding RNA, 1196 nt
Filed under: Sparus aurata (gilthead seabream)
Lineage: Eukaryota; Metazoa; Chordata; Actinopteri; Spariformes; Sparidae
Description: lncRNA (ENSSAUG00010001802.1)
Source: RNAcentral
CAAAAACCACCAACAUCAAGAAAACGGUCGGUGAUUAUUCGGUGUCUGGCCGAGCUACAUCCAGACAAACUACUACGACUGUUCAAAACCCAAAUCUGAAAGUCACAACGGUGGAGACGAGGCAGACCGUCCACGUGUCGGUGAAGAAUAAAAAAUGAACCACAGGAAAGGAUCGUGCACAAAUCUUAAAGUGAGACCGGGCGGCUCUGAUGGAUCCCACGACCUGGUGGAGGAUUUUAAGAAGAUUCUGGAUGAACAAGUCUGCUGCUCGAUCCCUUUCAUCAAAGUCUGCUGCAAAAAACCCCUAAAAAAUGUGUGAAAAGCCCAAAUUAUUGUUGUAGCGUAUUAGGAAACUAUGUUGUGUUACUGUUUGUGGAGGUGGUUCCUUACUGAUAACAUGAAACUUACUGAAGCUUAUCUGAGGCUCGGCAGGAAAGCAAACAUGUUCCCCAAGAUGUCAAACGAACUGAAGAGUCUGUAGUUUCAGUUUUGGGAAUCGACUCCCACCCAGAGCUUCCUCUACCUGUCUCUCUGCUUCCUUGAAGGGGCGGAGCCUCAGAAACAACAGAGUUGAAGUCCCGCCCCUUCUGAUUUGCCACAAGUCCUAAUGACCUAAUGUCAUCAAAAAUUCCUGCAGUGGCAGAGACAUUAUUUUUUGAUGCUGUUUGAGUUGUGCCACGACUUCCACAUAUGGUGUUCAAUUGAAAGAAUUUAAAGUUAACACGCGCAAAGAUACAAAUUAAACCAAAAUACCAUUUAGUUUUGUGUUAAACCGCUCAGUGAACUGAAUCAUCAACUCAGUAUGCUUCUACUUAUAAAUCGCCAACACAAACUCAAAGAGAAAAACAUUUAUAAAAAGUGAAAAUCACAAUAAAUCUGGUUACAAACUGCUUUCUCGAGUUUAAAAUUAUGUUUUAAAUUGACAAUCAUCAUGUGUGGUGUGUUCAUGGCAUGAUUCAAACACAAAAAUGUCCGUUCACUGCCAAACAGAUUGUUCCUGAAUUACCGUCCCGUUCUUUCACAGAUGUUGGAGAACCAUGUUACUGAAAACCUUGUUCAUCCUUUAAGUGUUCUUCUCUUGUAAAACCCUGAAAUAUUGUUCUAAUAAAACACAAAUCUCACUUCUAAAUGUUUCCUGAGAUGUUAAAUGUUGUGGGGUUUUUUUCUUUUUUUCUUGUUUUGACCCUCAAGGCCAC